UGGAUUGCACGUCGCCGAAGGAUUUGUUUUUGGAAUUUCUAUCGAUGGAAUGCCAUGGUUCGACUUGUUAGGUUCUGGAAAUUUGGGAGCCCAGAUCAAGAGAUUCUCUACUCCCUUUUCUACCUAUGUUGUUGGAUUGGUGAACAAAGUCACCCAUGUUUUUCCUCCUUCUGGUAAUGCUAGGAGCCAGAAACAGCACGUGUGUUAGUGUAUAUCACACAUGGCAGCAAGCAUGCCAUCGCUACCCUGUGGGAGGACUAGGCUGAUUUACUUGAUGCCAAUGGAUUGGAUUUAUUUGUUAGUCAGUACUCAGGUUUGUUGGUCUUCAAAAGUACAUCUGUUACAAGGUGGCAUGUUAAUGGGCCGAUUCCUGAGAUUGCUGUUGUCCGAGAGAGGUAAAUCUGAAGGCAAGGAUAUCAACUCAAUGGUCAAUGCACUGUGUAUGCUGGAAUCUUCAACGACUCUUAUCCAUGACCAGUUAUUGAGGUGAAGUGGCUGACAUGGUUUUGUUUCUAGCUUUGAAAGAAUAUCAUUCGACCGAAGAGGGGCCCGGAAUAAUCUCGACAAGCUGUUUACAUAAUAGACAGUUUUUCUUUCAUUAGUUCAAUGUCUCUGCUACAUGGGUACUCCAUAGAUGAAGGUUCAUGAAUUGUGUCAACUUAUUUCUUAAAAAAUGCAUUAUCGUAGCUUUUAAGAAAUUAUCUAGGAGGUUUUGUUUCGAGAGAAUAUGAUAUUCAGCCUAAACUAAAAAAAGAAUUAAAAUUAUUUUAUUUAGCCAUGAAAAUACGAAGUAUGCUUUUAAAGUUGAGAAGCUUAGCCCUGGGAUGUUGCAAGUAUCUCCUUUUCUCAUUAUCUUCCAAUUUGUAUUAUAUGUGACCUGAAUUAUUUAUGCAGAGUAUGGUUUACGUUAAAUUUUACUAGAGAGGUUCAUACAUAGAAUUGCAAGUCAAACCCUGAAUACCUGCGCAGUGGUUUUUCAUCUGGGUUCAGGAAGCAUGAAGAGGAGAAACACUAUUACGGACCUUCAAAGGCAAGGAAUGUAUAUCCACAAUACAUUAUUUUACCCAUGAACUUUGUAUUCUACAAACAUAUGAUGCUUUCUUUCGGGCUCC
Lolium rigidum is the source of this 1112-nucleotide RNA transcript. RefSeq lists it as uncharacterized. The transcript has 7 exons. The record is from RefSeq and is a predicted model, not a curated record. Lineage: Eukaryota; Viridiplantae; Streptophyta; Magnoliopsida; Poales; Poaceae.